AUUGAACGCUGGCGGCAGGCCUAACACAUGCAAGUCGAGCGGUAGCACAGAGAGCUUGCUCUCGGGUGACGAGCGGCGGACGGGUGAGUAAUGUCUGGGAAACUGCCUGAUGGAGGGGGAUAACUACUGGAAACGGUAGCUAAUACCGCAUAACGUCGCAAGACCAAAGUGGGGGACCUUCGGGCCUCAUGCCAUCAGAUGUGCCCAGCUGGGAUUAGCUGGUAGGUGGGGGAACGGAUCACCUAGGCGACGAUCCCUAGCUGGUCUGAGAGGAUGACCAGCCACCCUGGAACUGAGACACGGGCCAGACUCCUACGGGAGGCAGCAGUGGGGAAUAUUGCACAAUGGGCGAAAGCAUGAUGCAGCCAUGCCGCGUGUGUGAAGAAGGCCUUCGGGUUGUAAAGCACUUUCAGCGGGGAGGAAGGCAUUAAGGUUAAUAACCUUAGUGAUUGACGUUACCCGCAGAAGAAGCACCGGCUAACUCCGUGCCAGCCGCCGCAGUAA
RNAcentral lists this ribosomal RNA (504 nucleotides) under uncultured bacterium. RNAcentral's name for it is "partial 16S ribosomal RNA". It matches the Rfam family "Bacterial small subunit ribosomal RNA", at positions 29 to 523 of the family's 1533-position model. The record is from RNAcentral.